AUGGCAACUGAAUCAUCCUUUCCUUUUCUCCAGACUAACUGCUCCAUUUGUUGUGUUGUGCAUUCAGGAUAUGAAGUGCAUGCUUUCAGGAAGUGUAUUCAGGAUAUACAACUUCUAGAUAUUGCCUCCUUUGACAAUUUAUUUUUUGGGCAAAGAGGGCAGGACCUUGUUAGGAAUGCCGUCCUAGUGGGCACAAGGUCGGACAUGAAGCUAUCGGGAACACCGAGUCAUCCCCUGUUAGCUUGGAGGAUGGUGCUAUGGGCGACCACGUUGGCAAUGGCAACACUGGAGGCAACAAUGAUGGUGAGAACAUGGUGGUAG
Molecule: ribosomal RNA, 321 nt
Filed under: Triticum aestivum (bread wheat)
Lineage: Eukaryota; Viridiplantae; Streptophyta; Magnoliopsida; Poales; Poaceae
Description: partial small subunit ribosomal RNA
Source: RNAcentral